RNAcentral lists this ribosomal RNA (247 nucleotides) under uncultured bacterium. RNAcentral's name for it is "partial 16S ribosomal RNA". It matches the Rfam family "Bacterial small subunit ribosomal RNA", at positions 523 to 769 of the family's 1533-position model. The record is from RNAcentral.
AUACGUAGGGAGCGAGCGUUGUCCGGAAUUACUGGGUGUAAAGGGAGCGUAGGCGGGACGGUAAGUUAGGUGUGAAAUCUAUGGGCUUAACCCAUAGACUGCACUUAAAACUGCUGUUCUUGAGUGAAGUAGAGGUUGGCGGAAUUCCUAGUGUGGCGGUGAAAUGCGUAGAUAUUAGGAGGAACAUCAGUGGCGAAGGCGGCCAACUGGGCUUUUACUGACGCUGAGGCUCGAAAGCGUGGGGAGC